CUCCCGGUGAUCCUGCCGGACCCGACUGCUAUCAGAGUGGGACUAAGCCAUGCGAGUCAACGCAGCAAUGCGUGGCAUACGGCUCAGUAACACGUAGUCAACAUGCCCAGGGGACGUGGAUAACCUCGGGAAACUGAGGAUAAACCGCGAUAGGCCAAGGUUUCUGGAAUGGACACUGGCUGAAACCUACAUGGCCCCUGGAUUGGACUGCGGCCGAUCAGGCUGUUGGUGAGGUAAUGGCCCACCAAACCUGUAACCGGUACGGGCUUUGAGAGAAGGAGCCCGGAGAUGGGCACUGAGACAAGGGCCCAGGCCCUAUGGGGCGCAGCAGGCGCGAAAAUUCUGCAAUAGGCGAAAGCUUGACAGAGUUACUCUGAGUGAUGCCCGCUAAGGGCAUCUUUUGGCACCUCUAAAAAUGGUGCAGAAUAAGGGGUGGGCAAGUCUGGUGUCAGCCGCCGCGGUAAUACCAGCACCCCGAGUGGUCGGGACGAUUAUUGGGCCUAAAGCAUCCGUAGCUUGUUCUGCAAGUCCUCCGUUAAAUCCACCUGCUCAACAGAUGGGCUGCGGAGGAUACUACAGGGCUAGGAGGCGGGAGAGGCAAGCGGUACUCAGUGGGUAGGGGUAAAAUCCUCUGAUCCACUGAAGACCACCAGUGGCGAAGGCGGCUUGCCAGAACGCGCUCGACGGUGAGGGAUGAAAGCUGGGGGAGCAAACCGGAUUAGAUACCCGGGUAGUCCCAGCUGUAAACGAUGCAGACUCGGUGAUGGGUUGGCUUUGCGCCAACCCAGUGCCGCAGGGAAGCCGUUAAGUCUGCCGCCUGGGGAGUACGGUCGCAAGACUGAAACUUAAAGGAAUUGGCGGGGGAGCA
RNAcentral lists this ribosomal RNA (868 nucleotides) under uncultured archaeon. RNAcentral's name for it is "bacterial SSU rRNA". It matches the Rfam family "Archaeal small subunit ribosomal RNA", at positions 1 to 878 of the family's 1478-position model. The record is from RNAcentral.